RNAcentral lists this transfer RNA (59 nucleotides) under Loxodonta africana (African savanna elephant). It matches the Rfam family "tRNA", at positions 14 to 71 of the family's 71-position model. From Rfam's summary of the family: Transfer RNA (tRNA) molecules are approximately 80 nucleotides in length. Their secondary structure includes four short double-helical elements and three loops (D, anti-codon, and T loops). Further hydrogen bonds mediate the characteristic L-shaped molecular structure. tRNAs have two regions of fundamental functional importance: the anti-codon, which is responsible for specific mRNA codon recognition, and the 3' end, to which the tRNAs corresponding amino acid is attached (by aminoacyl-tRNA synthetases). tRNAs cope with the degeneracy of the genetic code in two manners: having more than one tRNA (with a specific anti-codon) for a particular amino acid; and 'wobble' base-pairing, i.e. permitting non-standard base-pairing at the 3rd anti-codon position. Lineage: Eukaryota; Metazoa; Chordata; Mammalia; Proboscidea; Elephantidae. The record is from Rfam by way of RNAcentral.
AGUGGUUAAGCGCUUGGCUGCUAACCAAAGGGUCGGUGGUUCAAAUCCACCAGCUGCUC